CCUACGGGUGGCAGCAGUGGGGAAUAUUGGGCAAUGGGCGCAAGCCUGACCCAGCAACGCCGCGUGAAGGAAGAAGGCUUUCGGGUUGUAAACUUCUUUUCUCAGGGACGAAGCAAGUGACGGUACCUGAGGAAUAAGCCACGGCUAACUACGUGCCAGCAGCCGCGGUAAUACGUAGGUGGCAAGCGUUAUUCGGAUUUACUGGGUGUAAAGGGCGUGUAGGCGGGACUGCAAGUCAGAUGUGAAAACCACGGGCUCAACCUGUGGCCUGCAUUUGAAACUGUAGUUCUUGAGUGCUGGAGAGGCAGACGGAAUUCCUAGUGGAGCGGUGAAAUGCGUAGAUAUUAGGAGGAACACCAGUGGCGAAGGCGGUCUGCUGGACAGCAACUGACGCUGAGGCGCGAAAGCGUGGGGAGCAAACAGGAUUAGAUACCCCAGUAGUC
RNAcentral lists this ribosomal RNA (443 nucleotides) under uncultured bacterium. RNAcentral describes it as "partial 16S ribosomal RNA". It matches the Rfam family "Bacterial small subunit ribosomal RNA", at positions 338 to 795 of the family's 1533-position model. The record is from RNAcentral.